Molecule: ribosomal RNA, 1284 nt
Filed under: Salmonella enterica subsp. enterica serovar Anatum
Lineage: Bacteria; Pseudomonadati; Pseudomonadota; Gammaproteobacteria; Enterobacterales; Enterobacteriaceae
Description: partial 23S ribosomal RNA
Rfam family: Bacterial large subunit ribosomal RNA
Source: RNAcentral
GGGUUGUGAGGUUAAGCGACUAAGCGUACACGGUGGAUGCCCUGGCAGUCAGAGGCGAUGAAGGGCGUGCUAAUCUGCGAUAAGCGCCGGUAAGGUGAUAUGAACCGUUAUAACCGGCGAUACCCGAAUGGGGAAACCCAGUGUGAUUCGUCACACUAUCAUUAACUGAAUCCAUAGGUUAAUGAGGCGAACCGGGGGAACUGAAACAUCUAAGUACCCCGAGGAAAAGAAAUCAACCGAGAUUCCCCCAGUAGCGGCGAGCGAACGGGGAGGAGCCCAGAGCCUGAAUCAGCAUGUGUGUUAGUGGAAGCGUCUGGAAAGGCGCGCGAUACAGGGUGACAGCCCCGUACACAAAAGCGCAUGUGCUGUGAGCUCGAUGAGUAGGGCGGGACACGUGGUAUCCUGUCUGAAUAUGGGGGGACCAUCCUCCAAGGCUAAAUACUCCUGACUGACCGAUAGUGAACCAGUACCGUGAGGGAAAGGCGAAAAGAACCCCGGCGAGGGGAGUGAAAAAGAACCUGAAACCGUGUACGUACAAGCAGUGGGAGCCCCACCACCAAAGCAUUCUCUGGUGUUGAAGGCCCUGCAAAGCAGCAUCGCGGUGGCGGAGCGUCGUUUGCGACGCCCAACACACAAAACAAGCGGUGAGUGCUUUGGGGUGGGGUGACUGCGUACCUUUUGUAUAAUGGGUCAGCGACUUAUAUUCUGUAGCAAGGUUAACCGUAUAGGGGAGCCGUAGGGAAACCGAGUCUUAACCGGGCGUUAAGUUGCAGGGUAUAGACCCGAAACCCGGUGAUCUAGCCAUGGGCAGGUUGAAGGUUGGGUAACACUAACUGGAGGACCGAACCGACUAAUGUUGAAAAAUUAGCGGAUGACCUGUGGCUGGGGGUGAAAGGCCAAUCAAACCGGGAGAUAGCUGGUUCUCCCCGAAAGCUAUUUAGGUAGCGCCUCGUGAAUUCAUCUCCGGGGGUAGAGCACUGUUUCGGCUAGGGGGCCAUCCCGGCUUACCAACCCGAUGCAAACUGCGAAUACCGGAGAAUGUUAUCACGGGAGACACACGGCGGGUGCUAACGUCCGUCGUGAAGAGGGAAACAACCCAGACCGCCAGCUAAGGUCCCAAAGUCAUGGUUAAGUGGGAAACGAUGUGGGAAGGCCCAGACAGCCAGGAUGUUGGCUUAGAAGCAGCCAUCAUUUAAAGAAAGCGUAAUAGCUCACUGGUCGAGUCGGCCUGCGCGGAAGAUGUAACGGGGCUAAACCAUGCACCGAAGCUGCGGCAGCGACACU